This 439-nucleotide ribosomal RNA is filed under the name uncultured bacterium. RNAcentral describes it as "partial 16S ribosomal RNA". It matches the Rfam family "Bacterial small subunit ribosomal RNA", at positions 339 to 795 of the family's 1533-position model. The record is from RNAcentral.
CUACGGGAGGCACCAGUGGGGAAUCUUAGACAAUGGGCGCAAGCCUGAUCUAGCCAUGCCGCGUGAGUGAUGAAGGCCUUAGGGUCGUAAAGCUCUUUCGCUGGGGAAGAUAAUGACGGUACCCAGUAAAGAAACCCCGGCUAACUCCGUGCCAGCAGCCGCGGUAAUACGGAGGGGGUUAGCGUUGUUCGGAAUUACUGGGCGUAAAGCGCGCGUAGGCGGACUGUUAAGUCGGGGGUGAAAUCCCGGGGCUCAACCCCGGAACGGCCUUCGAUACUGGCAGUCUGGAGUUCGAGAGAGGUGAGUGGAAUUCCGAGUGUAGAGGUGAAAUUCGUAGAUAUUCGGAGGAACACCAGUGGCGAAGGCGGCUCACUGGCUCGAUACUGACGCUGAGGUGCGAAAGUGUGGGGAGCGAACAGGAUUAGAUACCCCCGUAGUC